This 496-nucleotide small RNA is filed under the name Pan troglodytes (chimpanzee). RNAcentral's name for it is "retained intron". The record is from RNAcentral. Lineage: Eukaryota; Metazoa; Chordata; Mammalia; Primates; Hominidae.
UGAAGCCUUUAAUAAGAUGAAUAUACUCUUCAACUCGAGAUCUGAAAAAGCAAUGAAAAUACUUCUUUUUGUUGUACUUAACACAAUUUUUUGUGGUUUCUUUUUAUCUAGGUACCUGAUUCAAGAAAAAAGGUCCCUAUCACUGUUCAGUCCAUUGUCAUUCAGUCUCUAAAUAAAACACUCACCCGACGGGAGGACACUGAUGUGCUGCAGCCGACUCUCGUCAACGCUGGACACUUUAGCCUUUGCGUGAAUGUUGUUCUUGAGACUGACUGGAGCUCUCCCGUGUCAGCUCGUAGCACAGAAGGUGAAGAGCCUGCUGUGGGGCCAGGGCUUCCCAGAUUACGUGGCCCCUUUUGGAAAUUCCCAGGCCCAGGACAUGCUGGACUGGGUGCCCAUCCACUUCAUCACCCAGUCAUUCAACAGGAAGGUAAAGGGGAGAAGGAUUCCUGCCAGCUCCCAGGGGCUUUGGUUAUAGAAGUGAAGUGGACUAAAU